RNAcentral lists this ribosomal RNA (508 nucleotides) under uncultured bacterium. RNAcentral's name for it is "partial 16S ribosomal RNA". It matches the Rfam family "Bacterial small subunit ribosomal RNA", at positions 28 to 507 of the family's 1533-position model. The record is from RNAcentral.
GACGAGCGCUGGCGGCGUGCCUAAUACAUGCAAGUCGAACGCUUCUUUCCUCCCGAGUGCUUGCACUCAAUUGGAAAGAGGAGUGGCGGACGGGUGAGUAACACGUGGGUAACCUACCCAUCAGAGGGGGAUAACACUUGGAAACAGGUGCUAAUACCGCAUAACAGUUUAUGCCGCAUGGCAUAAGAGUGAAAGGCGCUUUCGGGUGUCGCUGAUGGAUGGACCCGCGGUGCAUUAGCUAGUUGGUGAGGUAACGGCUCACCAAGGCCACGAUGCAUAGCCGACCUGAGAGGGUGAUCGGCCACACUGGGACUGAGACACGGCCCAGACUCCUACGGGAGGCAGCAGUAGGGAAUCUUCGGCAAUGGACGGAAGUCUGACCGAGCAACGCCGCGUGAGUGAAGAAGGUUUUCGGAUCGUAAAACUCUGUUGUUAGAGAAGAACAAGGACGUUAGUAACUGAACGUCCCCUGACGGUAUCUAACCAGAAAGCCACGGCUAACUACGUG